AACGAACGCUGGCGGCAUGCCUAACACAUGCAAGUCGAACGAGACCUUCGGGUCUAGUGGCGCACGGGUGCGUAACGCGUGGGAACCUGCCCUUAGGUUCGGAAUAACUCCCCGAAAGGGGUGCUAAUACCGGAUAAUGUCUUCGGACCAAAGAUUUAUCGCCUUUGGAUGGGCCCGCGUUGGAUUAGCUAGUUGGUAGGGUAAAAGCCUGCCAAGGCGACGAUCCAUAGCUGGUCUGAGAGGAUGAUCAGCCACACUGGGACUGAGACACGGCCCAGACUACUGCGGGAGGCAGCAGUGGGGAAUAUGGGACAAUGGGCGAAAGCCUGAGCCAGCCAUGCCGCGUGAGUGAUGAAGGCAGUAGGGGGGUAAAGCUCUUUUACCCGGGAGGAGAAUGACGGGACGGGGAGAAUAAGAGCCGGCUAAGUCCGUG
This 433-nucleotide ribosomal RNA is filed under the name uncultured bacterium. RNAcentral describes it as "partial 16S ribosomal RNA". It matches the Rfam family "Bacterial small subunit ribosomal RNA", at positions 29 to 507 of the family's 1533-position model. The record is from RNAcentral.